This is a long non-coding RNA of Gadus macrocephalus (Pacific cod), 5290 nucleotides long. RefSeq lists it as uncharacterized. The transcript is spliced from 7 exons. NCBI's taxonomy places the organism in Eukaryota, Metazoa, Chordata, Actinopteri, Gadiformes, Gadidae. The record is from RefSeq and is a predicted model, not a curated record.
CCGCAGCUCGCCUGCCAAGUGGUUUUCUUAAUCAGUUAAUUGGUUGCAUCUGGUGCGUUUCACUUAAAAGGACGUGUGUGUACUGUUCUAUUUCAUUCCUAGGUCUGUUGUGACUUAUUUGACAUCUCUUCCUGUUUCACAGGUUAAAGACUUUUUGAAGUAAAGAGGAGCAUCUCAUCUGAACCUGAUGUCUAUCAUGGAUUUUUAACUUCAGUUCUGUGAGUAUCCCAACUUAACCAUGAAGAUGAACUGCAAACUGUAAGUCAUUCAUUUCUAAUUACUCUUGGGCACAUUGAUGUAUUUUGGCUUCCUGGUGAGUUAACCUGUUACCUGAAGGUUGAUCUGAGUAGGAAGGAUGUUUUAUUGGUUCAUGGGUUACUUAGGUGUUUGGUUUAUGUUGGUUUUAAUGAUUUGUUAAAAUGGUUACAGGCUCCAAGGUAUUGUUGUAAGCUGGAGUAAUGGGUUGGGUUCUGAUAUCUUCAGUCUUUUUUUCCAGCUACUCUCCUGAGCUCUGCCUCUUCAUCACAUGAGCGUUGCUUUACUAAUGAGGCUGUGGUCUGAGUGAGCAGAGGUGCAUACUGGGAUACAGAGCUGUCUGAAGUCUACAGGUCUGUAGACACGCCCAGGGGAAACCGAGUGUUUGAGGAACCGUCCUGACGUCAGUUACAUGGACGAGAAUGUUCUUUAAGAUGGAGACAGGGAUUCAGAAGGAGAAACGCCAGUGGGAGAUGAGGGGGCUCCUCAUCUCAACGACUAAAACACAACUUCAGUCUGACACAGAGAAUCAUGGAACACAUUCAACAAUCCCCUCCAGGCAUCGUGACUCCUCAGGAACAGUUUCAUUUCCAAGAAGGUCUUAUUUGGGGCCAUCCCCAUAUGGAUCCUGCUCCUCAAGAGCCACCCCCCUCCACUGGGUGGUCUUCUGAACAGAUGACCUCCUUCCUGUCCUCAGGCUCACUAAAGCUGCACCGUUUGCAUCUGUGAAGGCCCCUCAAUCAGGAAACCACUGGACUACAAAGACAUGACUUCAGAGACGUUGAAUCAACCUGGGACACAUGUUGGAGACGCCAAGCAUAAUCCAUCACCAAUGUGGGACGCCACUGAAGAAUGUUGUACAUAAUUCACGUCUUUGGAGACAUUGGUUGUUCUGUUCUGGGUGCCCUGGCAAGAGAGCUAUGGGUGGAUGAUGGAAUGUUAUUUGGCAUGAGGUUUUUACCCUGCAUGAUUGUUUGGCCUUUUAUGGCUCAGUGGUGUGUGUUCCAUUGGUUUGACAUGAGAUGGAUGAUUUUUAAACAUCGCUAGGGUUCUACUGUGUGUGUGUGUGUGUGUCUCCCACUCACACCUGGCAUGGGGUUCUACGUGUGUGUCCUGGGUUCUGUGUGUGUCCGGCUUGCUUUGACCGUAAUAAUGUUCAUACGGGGUCUGUGUGAUUGGCUUGGGAUAUUGGAAUGGUCAAAUAAAUCAUACCUGAUGGUCGGCCGGCCACACGUUUAGAGCGACGCUCCGGAGCGAUACCAACACACUGGGCAGGAAGGAGAGUACCCAACUCAAGUGUAAAAGGAUGCAAGCGGCGUGUUCAGAUCAGUGACUUCAAACUAGGACUACACCAAUCAGGAUCAAUGGAGGAUGGACACCUAAAGGCAUGCCACAAGGACUCUGAAGUUGGAAAGGGACCUCAAUGGAUGUUCAAGAUGACCUGUAAUGAGACGGCUCUUCCUACCUGGCUGGAUUGAUGGAGAGCCCUGUGGAUCUUGUCUUGCUCUCAGUUGCACGUCUUCUCAGGCUGAACUGUAUUUGUUUCGGACAGGACUAGCUGAACGAUUGGUUCCCUUAAAUCAGAACCAAUCUGGGAACUCAACAACUGAGUGCGCUCUUCGAGCUGAAGUUGUGCUCUUCAGCUGAGGAGGUAAGGAAACCUUCACUGGGGCUUCAAGGUGUAAAGAGGAGAAUGUUUCAAAGUGUUCCAUGGUACUCUGAUGAGGACCGUUGUGUUCCACUGGCUGAGAGGAAGAACCCUCACAUCUUCCUCUUGGCCUUUCUCCUCUGAGAAUCCUGGCGCCAUCUUGAAGGAUAUUCCAGCUCAUGCAACUGAUGUCACGACAGAUUCUCAAACACUUGGUUUCUCCUGAGCGGCGUGUCUAUAGAACUGAAGACUUGAGACGGCACUGUAUCCCAGCAUGCAUCUCUGCUCACUCAGACCACACCCCCAUGAGUAGGAUGCAACAUUCUAGUGAUGGAAAUGUAGAGUUCUAUAAGUAACGAGGGAGCAGACAAAGGUGAUUAGAGGCAUGUCAAGUCUGUAAAUCUUUAAAUCAUGAAGAUGGUUGGAUAGUUCAGGAAUUGGGCUUCUAUUUAUUAUGAGCACUCCUUUCGCUCAGAUUGCCACUUCUCACUGGACCUGUACAUGUGUUGGCUGGCUGUCAUGAUUUGCUGUUGGUGAUGAGGUGGUCAAGGUGACAUUGCAGGGCUAUGGUCGGCUCUCUGUGAGCUCAAUGUUUAGAUUUGCUCUAUAUGGUUUGUACCCUGAAUAAUCUAGAUAAUUGUAAAAUGUAGACACGGUUUUGUAUUGAAUGAUUCCAUUGUUCUUAGGCAAGGAUUUGAGGUUUAAAGUUGUUGUGGGACAAACAUGGUAGUUGGCUUCGUACGGUUUUGAGUGAUAUAACAUGUACACACUGGGUGCAUAAUAAUGUAAAGGUACACUGAAUAGUAGUACCAACAGCAACAAACGGAUCUCCUCAAGGUAAGUCUGUUGGCUGUGUUUAAAUGAAGACCAUCGCUGGACUUCAGGAUCUUCCUCCGUUCAGCUCAAGGUGAGGCGCUGGUUCUGUUUUUUCUUUGGUUGGUUCCGGCAGGAAUGUUCGGAUUCCUGUCGGACGGUUUGUGCUUCCCGCCGUGGAAGUUUCUGAGUGCGGUCACUUGAUUUAGUCCCAAUGGUUAGCAUCGAACGUUGUAGUCUUGACAACCAUUAGAAACCACCUGGCAGUUAGUUGGACGGGAGUCCCCUGAGGGAAUCUGGAGGAACGUUCUGGAUUGUAUUUGCGUAACCUCGAGCCGUUGCUAACGGAAAAAAAAACUCUGUCGGUUUCCAUUGGGAAUUGUUGCCCCUUAUCUUAAACAACUUAAGUUUGAUAUUAAAUACAUACUGACACGUACGUUGUACAAUGUGUUUUAAUUUUCGAUGGUUGCGCCGUACUUUCAACCACGUUGACGGGACUCUCGCUGCGUACGAAACGGCCUUCUACUUGCGGGCCCAUUUUUGACAUCAGUGAAGGCUGAAAAUCAUUUAAAGGCGGAAGAUAAUUUGACAUUUCUUCAACGGAACCCAGCACCUGAAUAUGGCUGAGUAAAUUUGAUUUAAUAUCGAUACUGCUUAGUGUUCUUUGUUACUUCAGCUUUUGUACGUUCUAAAUAUCAUUGUCAUUAAUUGCAACAGAAGUUAAACCCUACCCAAUGGAAUGACGCUAAACAACGACUUUGGUGCCGAGUUACCAACUGGAUAAUAUCAAAGCUAAAAUUAUGGCCGUGCUUUCCACAUGUUACAGUAGAAGAUACUCUAGAAUUGUACAAGGUUAAAAAGGUAACAUGUAGUUUGUCCCAAGGUGUCUGCCUCCUCACCCAGAGCCAGACCUCCACCUCCUCACCCGGAGCCAGACCUCCACCUCCUCACCCGGAGCCAGACCUCCACCUCCUCACCCGGAGCCAGACCUCCACCUCCUCACCCGGAGCCAGACCUCCACCUCCUCACCCGGAGCCAGACCUCCACCUCCUCACCCGGAGCCAGACCUCCACCUCCUGUCAGAAGUCCUCCAGACUGCAGCACCGGACCAGAGGGUAACCAUCAUCAAGCUCAUCUGAAACACUAAAAUCCACGGUAGUUUAGGUCUGGUUUUGAUCAUCUUAUGACUUUAAAUCUGUGCCAAGCUAUGAUUUGAGUUAAUUCAUACAGGGGUUAUGUAGGAGUCAUAUGAGCCAUUAUUGUUACUAGUGCUGCUACGACCGUAGUGGAUGAAUUGCUGAACACGACAAUCUGCAGACGGUGUCUAAUUUAAGUGUUUAAAUAUGUUUAAAUUUGUCUUCCAAUUUACAAGUGAACCUCAGAUGCAGGAGGUGGGGUGUGUUGCGUCCCCAGGUGAUUUACUGCUGAGACCAACUGUGUUUGUUACCAGACCAAGAAUCCAUGUCUGGAGGAGCCUUGCUCAAGGAGCUGAUGGAGGAGCCGUGCUGGAGGAGCUGAUGGAGGAGCCGUGCUGAAGGAGCUGAUGGAGGAGCCGUGCUGUAGGAGCUGAUGGAGGAGUCGUGCUGAAGGCCCCGCCUGGUGGAGGAGCUGAUGGAGGCCCUGCCAGGGGAAGGACGUCUGUCGUGGGCAAGACUUCCGCUGUUUGUUCCAGACCAGGACUCUGUCUGAGCAGAGCUGCUGGAGGAGCUGAGACGCUGGAGGACGACUAGGAAUCGACCAACAAGGAUUCCUCAACGUGUUUCUGAAGCGGAGGCGAGCUGGUAGGGGAGCCAUGAAUCUGGAGGAUGACCAUCACUCUACCAACAAGGAUUACGUUGGGGCCAGACUCGUGCUGUUUGUUCCAGACCAGGACUCUGGCUGAGGAGAGCUGAUGGAGGAGCCAAGACACUGGAGGACGACAUCACUCUACCAACCAGGAUCCUCACCAGGAAUCUGGAGGACUGAUGGAGAAGCCGUGCACCUGGAAGGCAAAUCCUGAGGACCACCAGAACUCUACCAUCAAGGAUUCCUCGCAGAAACACAUGAGCUGAACCUCAACUGUUUGGUCGGGGGCAGACACACCUGAGCUGAACCUGACAUCCUGCUGGUCCCGUCUCCUCAGUUCAUCUUAGCCUCGUCCUCCAGAAGACCUGCUGAGCUCAGCAGUCUGAGGCUGAUGGAUCAAUGACCUCCAGUGGGAGUGAUCUUCUUGACCUCACAUGUAACCGUGUGCUUCCACACGCCUUUCCUUCACGUCUGUCACUAACCUCACUACUUCACUACUCUCUACUGCUUCUUCUUCUUCCUUCUCUGUGGUUCGAACCUUUACACGGAAGGCGCGUCUUCCUGCCCUCAGAGGGUUCAGCGUUAGGGUUGAGAGUCAGGGUUUAGAGUCAGGGACAGAGCUGGUCAGGGAGGACUGCUUUUACACAAACCUCUGCACUUGCUUUCGGAAUGGUGAUGACAUUUUGAAAAGAUUCUUUUGGGAAAAUGUUUCCUAUUCCAUUUACAAAAUUGUAUUCAACUUCUGUCAAGUGCUUUUGUUUGCAUAUUAAAAUCCAACAUUGACUUCUA